This 203-nucleotide ribosomal RNA is filed under the name uncultured Roseomonas sp. RNAcentral's name for it is "partial 16S ribosomal RNA". It matches the Rfam family "Bacterial small subunit ribosomal RNA", at positions 1179 to 1382 of the family's 1533-position model. The record is from RNAcentral. Lineage: Bacteria; Pseudomonadati; Pseudomonadota; Alphaproteobacteria; Acetobacterales; Roseomonadaceae.
AUGACGUCAAGUCCUCAUGGCCCUUAUGGGCUGGGCUACACACGUGCUACAAUGGCGAUGACAAUGGGAAGCCAGGUGGUGACGCCGAGCCGAUCCCAAAAAGUCGUCCCAGUUCAGAUCGCAGCCUGCAACUCGGCUGCGUGAAGGUGGAAUCGCUAGUAAUCGCGCAUCAGCAUGGCGCGGUGAAUACGUUCCCGGGCCUU